UCGGGAAUAUUGGACAAUGGGGGCAACCCUGAUCCAGCCAUGCCGCGUGAGUGAAGAAGGCCUUCGGGUUGUAAAACUCUUUCAGGAGGGAAGAUGAUGACGGUACCUCCAGAAGAAGCUCCGGCUAACUUCGUGCCAGCAGCCGCGGUAAUACGAAGGGGGCGAGCGUUGUUCGGAAUCACUGGGCUUAAAGGGUGCGUAGGCGGCUGUCCAAGUCAGGAGUGAAAGCCCGGGGCUCAACCCCGGAAUUGCUCUUGAAACUGGAUAGCUAGAGUCCGGGAGAGGAUAGCGGAACUCCGAGUGUAGAGGUGAAAUUCGCAGAUAUUCGGAAGAACACCAGUGGCGAAGGCGGCUAUCUGGACCGGCACUGACGCUGAGGCACGAAAGCGUGGGGAUCAAACA
This 402-nucleotide ribosomal RNA is filed under the name uncultured bacterium. RNAcentral describes it as "bacterial SSU rRNA". It matches the Rfam family "Bacterial small subunit ribosomal RNA", at positions 355 to 774 of the family's 1533-position model. The record is from RNAcentral.